GACGAACGCUGGCGGCGUGCUUAACACAUGCAAGUCGAACGGAAAGGCCCUGCUUUUGUGGGGUGCUCGAGUGGCGAACGGGUGAGUAACACGUGAGUAACCUGCCCUUGACUUUGGGAUAACUUCAGGAAACUGGGGCUAAUACCGGAUAGGAGCUCCUGCUGCAUGGUGGGGGUUGGAAAGUUUCGGCGGUUGGGGAUGGACUCGCGGCUUAUCAGCUUGUUGGUGGGUUAGUGGCUUACCAAGGCUUUGACGGGUAGCCGGCCUGAGAGGGUGACCGGCCACAUUGGGACUGAGAUACGGCCCAGACUCCUACGGGAGGCAGCAGGGGGGAAUAUUGCAAAAUGGGCGGAAGCCUGAUGCAGCAACGCCGCGUGCGGGAUGACGGCCUUCGGGUUGUAAACCGCUUUCGCCUGUGACGAAGCGUGAGUGACGGUAAUGGGUAAAGAAGCACCGGCUAACUACGUG
RNAcentral lists this ribosomal RNA (468 nucleotides) under uncultured bacterium. RNAcentral describes it as "partial 16S ribosomal RNA". It matches the Rfam family "Bacterial small subunit ribosomal RNA", at positions 28 to 507 of the family's 1533-position model. The record is from RNAcentral.